CGACCGGCGCACGGGUGAGUAACGCGUAUGCAACUUACCUAUCAGAGGGGGAUAACCCGGCGAAAGUCGGACUAAUACCGCAUGAAGCAGGGGCCCCGCAUGGGGAUAUUUGCUAAAGAUUCAUCGCUGAUAGAUAGGCAUGCGUUCCAUUAGGCAGUUGGCGGGGUAACGGCCCACCAAACCGACGAUGGAUAGGGGUUCUGAGAGGAAGGUCCCCCACAUUGGUACUGAGACACGGACCAAACUCCUACGGAAGGCAGCAGA
This 264-nucleotide ribosomal RNA is filed under the name uncultured bacterium. Its description in RNAcentral is "partial 16S ribosomal RNA". It matches the Rfam family "Bacterial small subunit ribosomal RNA", at positions 92 to 354 of the family's 1533-position model. The record is from RNAcentral.